GCGUCUAUACACGACAACUCACCACCGAGGCUACUGGCUGCGACCCGUGAGGGAACGUGGUAGGCGUCCUCGCUUGGCGUGAUUCGUGUUGCACGGUGCAAGGGCCACCGAUCGGAGGAGGCUAUGGAGCGAUGCAACCGAUAGAACCACGCGACGCCAUGCUCAGCGACGACAACAGGCGUGCAGAGUGCUGGAGCCCGCCAGCGGGGCGGUACGGGUGACACGAUUUUUUCUUUGAUCAUCAAUAUAUUGGAUCUGCUUAAUAAUGCAUACCGCUUGACCGUGUAGAGGAAGAAUCGAAGCCUGUCGCGUAGGACAGUUCGGCUAGGCUGAGGGACCUGCCGACUUGACGAAGAGUCGAUGCAGAUCUGAUCUCGCAGCAACGUCGAGGUAGAGCGUGCUGAUAACGUGUUGAGAACUACGUUACAACGGAUCACCAGAUCCGCUCCCUUCCCUCCCGUCAGCAGAUUAGGCGCGAGAAGAUGUGGAAGACUCGUAUCCCUUCCCAGAAACACGAUAGAGGAAACACACGAGACAUUAUGUAGGGUUGGGCCUUUGGCCUCUUUCUCUUCUCUGUAUUAUGAGGGGGUGUACAGGUUCCUUAUAUAGAGAUGUGAGACCCCUCAGGAGCAAAAUAGGUAUUUGCCCACAUAACCCUAACUAGGGUUACUUAACAGAUCUGACCAAGCAAGGCCAAGGCAACGAGAGAUUCCACUGCCGCCACGUCGUUCACACAAGCAAAGAUGAGUCGGUAUUCCGUUAUCAUCACAUUUCUUUCCUCCAUCUUGAAACGAUUGCAAAGAUUGAUGGGCCAAUUCUAGGCUGGCUUUUGCUUCUCCAAUAAAAAAAA
RNAcentral lists this long non-coding RNA (850 nucleotides) under Zea mays. RNAcentral's name for it is "long non-coding RNA (ZMAY_LNC001962)". The record is from RNAcentral. Lineage: Eukaryota; Viridiplantae; Streptophyta; Magnoliopsida; Poales; Poaceae.